GUGCCAGCAGCCAGCGGUAAUUCCAGCUCCAAUAGCGUAUAUUAAAGUUGUUGCGGUUAAAACGUUCGUAGUUGAACUUGUGCUCCAUACGGGUAGUACACCUAUAAAUUGGGUUUGUACAUUACUCUAUUGUAUGUGAGCGUAUUACCGGUGGAGUUCUUAUAUGUAAUAAUACUUGUAUUAUUUACAUAUUCCUCCUAUUCAAACCUACUUCAGUGCUCUUCACCGAGUGUUGUUGUGGGCCGGUACAAUUACUUUGAACAAAUUAGAGUGCUUAAAGCAGGCUUCAAAUGCCUGAAUAUUUGUGCAUGGAAUAAUGGAAUAAGACCUCUGUUCUACUUUCAUUGGUUUAUAGAUCAAGAGGUAAUGAUUAAUAGGGACAGUCGGGGGCAUCAGUAUUCAACUGUCAGAGGUGAAAUUCUUGGAUCAGUUGAAGACUAACUACUGCGAAAGCAUUUGCCAAGGAUGUUUUCAUUAAUCAGGAACGAAAGUUAGGGGAUCGAAGACGAUCAGAUACCGUCGUAGUCUUAACCAUAAACUAUGCCGACUAGGGAUCGGACGGUGUUAUUCAUGACCCGUUCGGCACCUUACGAGAAAUCAAAGUGCUUGGGCUCCAGGGGGAGUAUGGUCGCAAGGCUGAAACUUAAAGAAAUUGACGAAGGGCACCACCAGGGGUGGAGCCUGCGCUUAAUUUGACUCACACGGGGAAACUCCACAGGUCCAGAACAAUAGGAUGACAGAUGAGGCUCCUUUCUUGAUUUAUGGUGGUGGUGCAUG
Molecule: ribosomal RNA, 777 nt
Filed under: uncultured fungus
Lineage: Eukaryota; Fungi
Description: bacterial SSU rRNA
Rfam family: Eukaryotic small subunit ribosomal RNA
Source: RNAcentral